This is a non-coding RNA of Chiloscyllium plagiosum (whitespotted bambooshark), 4939 nucleotides long. The record is from RefSeq and is a predicted model, not a curated record. Lineage: Eukaryota; Metazoa; Chordata; Chondrichthyes; Orectolobiformes; Hemiscylliidae.
UUUCGUUGCUCCUUGGAUGCUGCCUGAACUGCUGUGCUCUUCCAGCACCACUAAUCCAGAAUCUGGUUUCCAGCAUCUGCAGUCAUUGUUUUUACCCCGGAACAAACAUCAGGUUGCUAUGUAAAAGAACGGACAUUACGUCAGAAACGAUGUUAACUUCAGAACUGUGAUCUGCAAAGUGAGCAGUAAAUCAGUAGCUGAGUGAGGGGACACGACUGUAAUCCCACAGUCUCCUUCCUUGGAUUGUUAUGGGCCGAAGCGACAGCGCAAGCGGAAACUCAAAUUCAAAUCCCUGGAGCCAGGAAAGAGAAUGUUUUAAUGAGCUUCAUUAAUAUUUGUGUAAAUGGCAAAGGAAAGAAAUGCCAACAACACUCGAAGGGAUACAGAAGUACAGAAGCAGCCUCGCAAUGGAACUCUUGUGGCUGCAACAGGCCAUUGCUAGUCGUAAAAAUGGUCAUGGAGAAUUACAGCAUGGAAACAGUCUCUUCAGUCCAAGUGGGCCAUGCCGACCAGAUAUCCUAAAUUAAUCCAGUCCCAUCGGCCAACAUUUGGCUGAUAUUCCUGGAAAACUUUCCUGUUAAUAUACCAAUCCAGAUGCCUUUUAAACAUAGUACAAUUACAAUCCUACGCCACUUCCUCUAGCAGCUCAUUCCAUACACGCACCAUGUAAUCUCAUGAGUACGGCGAAAGGAUCACAAGUCAGUACUUACAACCUCAUCUUAGGUACAAGGUACCUGGGUACAACUUCUUCAGUACAAGUUCUUAGGACAAAAACUAUAGAAAAAUAAAGAAAUAAAAAGCCCAGCGGUAUGGAUCAUAGGAAUAAAUUAGAAAAUAGAGAAAUAAAAGAUUCCGAACAACAGUCCUUCCAAUCCAGUCCAUGCUGACACCUAGCCUCCAGAUUACACUGGCCUUGACUCCAGUCCAUGCCAGGCCUUGACCCCAGACAACACUGGGCCUUGACUCCAGACCACACCAGGCUUCUCCUCAAAGGCUGUUGAAGUUGGGAGACUACUCUGGAAUCACAAGAGACCAGACGCCAACGCUGAGGCCAAGCCGGGUGAAAGACCACCCCACUGGGCUGAGAGGACAACUCGCCAAGUACACGCUGAGGUUGGGAGUCCGAGGCCAAGUAGAAAGAAAGAAGAGACAGAUGGGGAAAGAAAAAAUACAAAAGAGAAAAAACAAGGAAAUUAAAUAGAUGGAGCGAACAAGCACAAAUUGAAGAGAUAUUCUCCACCAACAUUUUACGCUGCAAGGUGCGAGAUUUGUCUUGACCACAUUUCCUAUUGAAGUACCAUAUGGGCUUUUAAACGCUGUCUGGAUCUUUACCUCAUUGUCUUACUGUUCUAACCUUGCUAUCUAUUCAACAGUAUUUAUACCAUAAUAUCCAGAAUGAACAAAGUUUAUUUUGGUUUGUUCAAGAUGUGGAAUCUUGCAGCUUUAAAGCAUUAAAUAUCUGAGGUCUCACACUUGUCCACUGUCUUUUAUAAAAAAAGUGGUAAAAUGCCUGGGUCAGAUUGAAACAUAACAUUGCUGAUCUGGUCCCAGUACCUACACACCUUCACAUUUCUGAUGCCAGUUCCCUCAGAGCAGGAAGAGGAAAAAAAUCAAUGCAAAGUUCCCACCAGGAGGCAACAAUCCACAUUCCACAUUCCAAUCUUUCAGGUAGGAGUCCAAAAUGCAGCUUCAAAUUAAUUUCCAGAAAUACAUGUAGAGGAUACAGGUUCAAGCUAGUUAGGGAAAGCUCAUCUUCAUUAGGAAUGAUCUACACAUGAAAUAAAAUACGGCAAACAAAAAACAACUUUGGAAACAGGAUGGAAUGACAUGAGUGUUUCAGAAACAACGUUUAACAAAUUCAAGUAUGCGAGUCAGUGGUACAUGGAAAUGUUUAUGGAUACUCACAAGGGCAAUAAAGAGAAGUGAUAAACAUGUACAUAUUCACUGGGUGUUAAUUAGCUCAGUUGGCUGGAGGGCUGGUUGUAAUACAGAGUGAUUGUAACAGCAUUAGUUUAAUCCUGUACUGGUGAGUUCACUUUCCAGUUCCUGCCUCCUCAACCAAGGCAUGGUAACCUCAGGUUAAACUCUCCACCAAUCAUCUCUCUCUAAUGAGAGGGUAGUCCUCUGAGACUAUGGUGAUUUUACAUUAUAUACUCAUGUUAAAGCCCACUUGAGACCCAUAUACUGUAAACAGCACUGGAGACUGCAGUGCAGGUACUCCACUUUCAUUAUAGUCACCUGUGGGCUACUGUGUUAUGAGCUCUCUUUAUAAAGAGACUCACCAGCUUGCUAUAUUAAUUAAUACCAGGUUCCCGUUCAUUCAUUCAUAACCCUUGACUAACCUGUUAUGUAUAAUAACAUGGUUUCUUUCAUUACUUCAUAAAACUAUAGUUCUGUAGUGUCCAGGUUUCAAAGCAGCCCUUUCAAACCCAUCACUGCAUUCCCACACCUUCUCAGCCCCUGUUACAAGCAGUGUUUACCUCAGCAUACAGAACAAUACCAUCCCCAUCAAGUCUCCACUAAACACUACCUGUUAAAUACCUUUGAAUUGGGCCAUUAUCCCUUUAAAAAACUAACUGACAAAACAGCGUUUGCAUGAAGUUGCAUGAAUGAACCUCAUAUCGGCAAAUUUUACUGCUCCUCGGACACUGCCUGAACUGCUGUGCUUUCCAGCACCACUAAUCCAGAAUCUGGUUUCAAGCAACUGCAGUCAUUGUUUUCACCGAGUAAAUAAAUCUCAUCACACAGCUGCAGUUAUCAGUUUCAUAUCCUUUAUUCUUUUAUUACAAUUUCUAACUUAGAGCAUAUAGACAGUAUUUUUAUUAAUAUUUACUAACUCAAAAGACAAUGAACUAACCCCUCCAAUUAUUCAAGCAGACCAGAUGGACAUCCCAUUAGGAGUAGCAGCCAGCAGCACAUUUUUAACCCAUCUCCUGUCUCCAAGGACAGAAGCCCUCCAAAUCCUUCGGUACUACAGACAAAAACUGUAACACGACAGUAAUGAUAUGUAAGAACUGUGUAUAAUGAGGCUUUUGUAAGAUCUGUAUUUCAGGAUUCUAUGACUGUCUCAGACUUGUGGUGUGAUUGCUGAAUAAAGAGGCGAUUUUCACCACUCACCGAUUUGGGACGUUAUUUGAACACAAUCCCACACUACAAACAGUGACACAGGUUGGUGAAUAGUGUAGCUGAAGUUGAUUGAGAGUCUUUGAAUUUUCCAGUCAACUGCUACCUUUUCCAUCAUGAUUCUGGGGCUGUAGGGUAUGGUUGAUUUUGUUCACUUAUUAGCUCCUCUUUAGCUCGUUUUAUUUGUGUUCAUGAAUUCACCAGUAUACUUUUCCUUUUAUUCCUUAAAUAGGCAACUUUACAGUCAGUUUAGCAAUUUUCAAUGCUGUGGACCCUUAUGUCAAGUGACCAUUCAAAAUGAAACUCCAGAUAAUAUGCUUCAUGUCAGUGUUUCCUUGAAAUUAUUUUAUUCCUUAUUACCUGCAAAUUCUCUGGCAGUCAAACACCCUCUAUCACUAUUGUACUGAAACCAAGAAUUGUUUGACCACUUUCCAACGAUAAAUGCAUUUGAUUUUUAACUUUUUCUUACCUGGAGAAGAUGCAAACUGCAUCCCUGAUAUAAACCAAUCCGCAGAGUCGCAACAGGACAGAGAGCAGUGAACAGGUCCCUUCCUGUCCUUCUGGUCUGGAAAUCCACAAGGUAACAGUAAUUCGCACUAUUUUCAUCUUUCCCCAUGUGCAAAUUCCAUCAAACAGAAGCAGUAUUAAAAGUAUUUGGUGUGCAACAAUAUAUAUUGAACUGAUCUCAAAUAACCCUGCGAGUCUUUCACCCUGUUUUAUUUCCAUAUUCACAACAAGGAAGUCAGACUGAACGGGAGCUCGGACACAUGGUGAAAGCUGUUGCAUUUUAGUCACAAUUCUCACACUCCACUUUUCAACAAACUGAGAUCUUUCGAGUAUUUUUCAUCAUCUCAGCUGCUUACAGGAGUGUUAACAGCCACUCACUCCUACCUGACAGAAAUGUAUUUGCUUGUGGAAACAAGUGCUGUCCCUCCAUACGCAGUUGCUCAAAGGCUGGCAGCUCGUGUAAUGUCAUUGUGCUGGUGAAAUGGAUUUCUUGCUAAUCAAAAUUCCUAUAAUUACAAAUCCAGCUACCAUGAGAAGGACAGUAAAUAAAAUCCAUUGGUGUCUUUUUUCAAUUCAGAUUGUCAGUAUCUGUUGAAAACAUAUUUAUAUCGUAGUUCAGUGAAGUUUGGAUUUUUUUUGCCAACACAUUUCAAAUCAACAAUUGGACUUCAGAAUGCUCAUUGUGUGAUGCACCAAAUGUGGCAAUGAACACAGUGCAAUCAACGAGAACUUUAAAAAUGUGGAAAAGCAUCAAAUGUAACUUGUGGGAUAUUUAUUUGCAUGUCAAGUGCAAAACAUUUAGGUGAGAGUUUUGCUCUAUUGCUCUGGAGUGGAGUUAUAAAUGGAGGUAAUCAACUGCUGUUCCAGAUAUGUUCCUCUGGCAUUCUCCUGGACAUGGUGCCAGAGCAAUGAUGCUCUUAGGUUUUCUACAAAAUCUCAUUUACAAGAGGUGAAUUACUCUUGACAAGGUCAGCAUUUAUUAUUCACACUCAUCUGCCCUUGAGAAAGUGACACUGCGCCACCGUUUCAAACUGACUGAUAAACGGACACGAUUGUGACCCAAUCUCAUUGAAGGAAUGAUGAUAGACUUUCAGGACAGGAUGGGGAGUGGCUUGGAGAGGGACUUGCAGUUUAUGAGGUUCCAUCAGUUUUCUCCACUUGACCAGCUAGAUGGCAGAGGUCAUGAGUUUGGAAGGUGCUGUUGAAGGAGCCUUACAGAGAUUUAGAGAGUUGCUAACCGAGCUAAACCAACAGCUGGUGUGUGAUUCAAAGUAAUGCCAUCGGCAGGGAUUCAAUCACCAUGCCAGAU